AAUGUGUAUAUCGCCAUUGCUGCGGUUAAAAAGCUCGUAGUUGGAUCUGCGCCUUCGGACUCGGUCCUCCCAACGGGUGCGAACUGAGCUCCAAGGCUACUACUGCUGGUUUUCCCUUGAUGCUCUUCACUGGGUGUCUUGGGUGGCUAGCGAGUUUACUUUGAAAAAAUUAGAGUGCUCAAAACAGGCUAUUGCCUGAAUACCGGUGCAUGGAAUAAUAGAAUAGGAUCUCGGUCCUAUUUUGUUGGUUUUCGGAACUGAGAUAAUGGUUAAGAGGGACAGACGGGGGCAUUCGUAUCGCUGCGUGAGAGGUGAAAUUCUUGGACCGCAGCGAGACGCCCAACUG
This 346-nucleotide ribosomal RNA is filed under the name uncultured eukaryote. Its description in RNAcentral is "SSU rRNA". It matches the Rfam family "Eukaryotic small subunit ribosomal RNA", at positions 594 to 945 of the family's 1831-position model. The record is from RNAcentral.